This 68-nucleotide transfer RNA is filed under the name Plesionika sindoi. Its description in RNAcentral is "tRNA-Leu". Lineage: Eukaryota; Metazoa; Arthropoda; Malacostraca; Decapoda; Pandalidae. The record is from RNAcentral.
UUCUAAAAUGGCAGAUCAUUGCAUAGGAUUUAAGCUCCUAAUAGGAAAUCAAGAAUUUCUUUUAGAAA